This 468-nucleotide ribosomal RNA is filed under the name uncultured bacterium. Its description in RNAcentral is "partial 16S ribosomal RNA". It matches the Rfam family "Bacterial small subunit ribosomal RNA", at positions 28 to 507 of the family's 1533-position model. The record is from RNAcentral.
GACGAACGCUGGCGGCGUGCUUAACACAUGCAAGUCGAACGGAAAGGCCCUGCCUUUGUGCGGUCCUCGAGUGGCGACCGGGUGAGUAACACGUGAGUAACCUGCCCUUGACUUUGGGAUAACUUCAGGCAACUGGGGCUAAUCCCGGAUAGGAGUUCCUGCUGCAUGGUGGGCGUUGGAAAGUUUCGGCGGUUGGGGAUGGACUGGCGGCCUAUCAGCUUGUUGGGGGGGUAGUGGCUUACCAAGGCCUGGACAGGUAGCCGGCCUACUAGGAGGACCGGCCACAUUGGGACUGAAAUGCGGCACAGACUCCAACGGGAGGCAGCGGAGGGGAAUAUUGCACAAUGGGCGGAAGCCUGAUGUAGCAACGCCGCGUGCGGGAUGACGGCCUGCGGGUUGUAAACCGCUUUCGCCUUUGACGAGGCGUGAGUGACGGUAAUGGGUAAAGAAGCACCGGCUAACUACGUG